GAUGAACGCUAGCUACAGGCUUAACACAUGCAAGUCGAGGGGCAGCGGGAAGUCAGCUUGCUGACUUUGCCGGCGACCGGCGCACGGGUGAGUAACACGUAUCCAACCUCCCGCAUACUCGGGAAUAGCCUUUCGAAAGAAAGAUUAAUGCCCGAUGGUUUCAAGGGAUUGCAUGGUAUCUUGAAUAAAGAUUCAUCGGUAUGCGAUGGGGAUGCGUUCCAUUAGGCAGUUGGCGGGGUAACGGCCCACCAAACCGACGAUGGAUAGGGGUUCUGAGAGGAAGGUCCCCCACAUUGGAACUGAGACACGGACCAAACUCCUACGGGAGGCAGCAGUGAGGAAUAUUGGUCAAUGGCCGGAAGGCUGAACCAGCCAUGCCGCGUGAAGGAUUACGGUCCUAUGGAUUUUAAACUUCUUUUGCACGGGAGCAAUAAGGGUCACGGGUGGCCCGAUGAGAGUACCGUGCGAAUAAGCAUCGGCUAACUCCGUGCCAGCAGCCGCGGUAAUACGGAGGAUGCGAGCGUUAUCCGGAUUCAUUGGGUUUAAAGGGUGCGUAGGCGGUGGCGUAAGUCAGCGGUGAAAUUCACGGGCUCAACCCGUGCCGUGCCGUUGAUACUGCGUUGCUGGAGUACUGUCGCCGUGGGAGGAAUGUGUGGUGUAGCGGUGAAAUGCAUAGAUAUCACACAGAACACCGAUUGCGAAGGCAUCUCACGAGGCAGGGACUGACGCUGAUGCACGAAAGUGCGGGGAUCAAACAGGAUUAGAUACCCUGGUAGUCCGCACAGUAAACGAUGAUGACUAGCUGUCGGCGAUAGACAGUCGGUGGCUAAGCGAAAGCGAUAAGUCAUCCACCUGGGGAGUACGACCGCAAGGUUGAAACUCAAAGGAAUUGACGGGGGCCCGCACAAGCGGAGGAACAUGUGGUUUAAUUCGAUGAUACGCGAGGAACCUUACCCGGGAUUGAACGCAGUCUGACUGGGGUGGAAACACCCUUUCUAGCAAUAGCAGAUUGCGAGGUGCUGCAUGGUUGUCGUCAGCUCGUGCCGUGAGGUGUCGGCUUAAGUGCCAUAACGAGCGCAACCCUUGCCGACAGUUACUAACAAGUAAAGUUGAGGACUCUGUCGGGACUGCCAGCGUAAGCUGCGAGGAAGGCGGGGAUGACGUCAAAUCAGCACGGCCCUUACAUCCGGGGCGACACACGUGUUACAAUGGCGUGGACAGAGGGCGGCCACCUGGCGACAGGGCGCAAAUCCCGAAACCACGUCUCAGUUCGGAUCGGAGUCUGCAACCCGACUCCGUGAAGCUGGAUUCGCUAGUAAUCGCGCAUCAGCCAUGGCGCGGUGAAUACGUUCCCGGGCCUUGUACACACCGCCCGUCAAGCCAUGAAAGCCGGGGGUACCUGAAGUACGUAACCGCGAGGAUCGUCCUAGGGUAAAACCGGUAAUUGGGGCUA
Molecule: ribosomal RNA, 1453 nt
Filed under: uncultured bacterium
Lineage: Bacteria
Description: bacterial SSU rRNA
Rfam family: Bacterial small subunit ribosomal RNA
Source: RNAcentral